Molecule: ribosomal RNA, 121 nt
Filed under: Ramularia endophylla
Lineage: Eukaryota; Fungi; Ascomycota; Dothideomycetes; Mycosphaerellales; Mycosphaerellaceae
Also listed under: 22 other names
Description: partial 18S ribosomal RNA
Rfam family: Eukaryotic small subunit ribosomal RNA
Source: RNAcentral
GACUGGCUCAGGGAGGUCGGCAACGACCACCCAGAGCCGGAAAGUUGGUCAAACUCGGUCAUUUAGAGGAAGUAAAAGUCGUAACAAGGUCUCCGUAGGUGAACCUGCGGAGGGAUCAUUA